Cimex lectularius (bed bug) is the source of this 421-nucleotide long non-coding RNA. RefSeq lists it as uncharacterized. The transcript is spliced from 3 exons. Lineage: Eukaryota; Metazoa; Arthropoda; Insecta; Hemiptera; Cimicidae. The record is from RefSeq and is a predicted model, not a curated record.
AAUACGGCAAGCAGGUCGGGUCCCCUAGUAAAUUGAACAAAAGAGGGGUUGAGAUUGUUAUACUGAUUUGUGAUACACGCUCUACAUGGCUGAUUCACGUUGACUGUACAUGGCGUUGUAUAGAUAUGCAAACUCUACCAAAACGUGGCAAGGCGUCGGGUAGCAUCGAGGACUUGGCGGAUUUGCGGCUGAAACGCGCGGUUCCUGUUCAUGUGAUAUUGCGAUAAAGAACGAAAUGGUUCGUAAAUUUUCGUAGUUGAUGAUUCUGUAUUGAAUGUCUCGAUUUUACUUGGGCGAGAAUUUUUGGCUUAAUCCUCGCAUAGUGCUGGGAGAACUACAGUGGUCGUUAACUCCUUUCACGACCAAUUUUAAAUGCCAAUUGUAAUUAUUAUUAUAUUCAUGCCAAUUGUAAAUUUAACUU